This is an RNA transcript of Syzygium oleosum, 2768 nucleotides long. RefSeq lists it as uncharacterized. The record is from RefSeq and is a predicted model, not a curated record. Lineage: Eukaryota; Viridiplantae; Streptophyta; Magnoliopsida; Myrtales; Myrtaceae. The transcript has 2 exons.
UAGAAUAAUAAAAAUUUAAUUCCGAAUUUUCGCAGCCUCUUUUUUUUUGACCUUUUUUGGUUGAACCCGACCCGAACACCUCCUUUUUUGCCCAGAAACGAUAUGCACCGUAGAGAUGUGAUCCGACGGGCUGAAAUCGCUCGCGUUCGAAGCCGAGCUCAGCCAUGGCGUCGUCAACUCUCCAAAACGAAAACUCACCGAUCACCACCCUUAGCUCACUUCCGUUUCGGUGGCAAGAGUUGCUGUUCUUUUCCCAGGCGUUUUGCGCGAGCCGAGCUCGUUUACACUAGUUGGUGUUUUGCGCUUAUGCGGUUGAUCCAGGGCAUUUCCAGAACCCUUCUUUUUUGGGUUUCAUGGGUUAAAGUUCGUCGCUUUCUUUGCCCUUUCGUCCGUUUUAGGGAAACCCUCAAGUUAUGUGUCUUCGGGGUUUCAGCUUUUCAGGCCGGGUGGUGCUCUUGCUUUUUUCUCUUCUGAUUCUGGGCUUGAAAGGACUCAAAUUUGAUCGUGUCAUGAUGCGGAUUAAUUCAUUCAUAGCCGCACGUGUUCCUUCCUUUUCUUCUUCUUCGCGAUGCUUUUCGUGUCGGCUGGCAUUAGUCGGUGUGUUCCGAUACAUGCAGACGCCCGAUGCUUCGAAAAAGGAGAAAUGAAUGGCAGUCUAGUUAUAUGUUGUAUGAGCUCUUCUGGCAGGUGAAACUCUGCUUUGUCCGAUUGCGUCGAGAAAGGACUCAAAUUUGGUAAUAUCAUGAUUUAAAUCGAUUUGGUUUGUUGCAGCAUGUGUUCCUCUGUGUGGUUCAAUGUGAUGACGAUUGGGUACGGAGUCCAGUCUAUGAUGACAAAUUGUCUUUGAAACAUGAUGGGCUAUCAUUUGUUAUAAUCCUUGUUUAUGUUAGUAGAGCGGCUGUUCUAUUCUGGUUCAGAGUUAUACCUUUUCUUCCAUCAUGUUGAUUUUCCUCACCUUUAGAGAUAAGGCUAAAUCCGGGAGAGCUGUUUUGGCGAGUGUUAUUUCUUCUUAUGAAAAUUACUCCCUGCCAUGCUUAUUAUAGAUGGGUUACGGCUAAUGGCGUGUUUUUGUGGGGCUAUGCGUCAGUCAGAACAGCUGGUAAAUAGUGGCUUGAUUGGAGUCUUAUCAUUACAUGAGUUUCAUUCCUAUCCCUUUGUUAGAUCUGACUUUCAUGAUAGAGAUGCUUUGUUUUGUUUCUAGUUUGAGAUGGCACCUCAGACUCAAAGGUCCGCAGCUCAAGGAAAUUCCCAAGCAGUUGAGCCUAAAAAGGAAUGGAUGCAUCACAAGAAGCAGUCAGUUAACAAGACUGUUAGACACGAGCAGUGUGGGCAACAGCUAGCAGGGGGCAGAACUGUUCUGACUGCAAAUCAACGGGAUGUAGUGAUUCAUUUACUGCAAACCACCCACGAGCUAAUUCUGGAGAUACAACAAAAGUGUGCUGGUAUUCAAGCUUGGUUCACGCAGCAACUGCGUAAUAACAAUUUCAUGAAACUAAAUCCACCAACUUUUUUGGGGGUUGCCAACCACUCAGAGGCUGUAUCUUGGUUGAUUAAAAUGGAGGAGCUUUUCAAUGUAUUUGGGCGCUCCUAUGAAGAGAAAGUGGAUUAUGCCACCUAUAGGUUGAGCGAGACUGCUAUCACUUGGUGGCAGCUUGAGAAAAGUAAGUGCAAACUGGGCGCGGAGCCAUGUACUUGGGAUAACUUUGAAAAGGCUUUCUGUGCACAGUACAUCCCAGACAGUGUUCGACUUCAAAUGGCAGAAGAUCUCAUCAACCUGAAGCAGAAGAACUUGACCGUAGUUUAGUAAACUGGCAAGGUUUGUGCCACUGUGGGUGGACGGAGAUGAGGUCCUUGCUCGGAGGUUUGAAGGGGGAUUGAGGCCUCAGAUUAAGGCAUUGGUGAUGCCGUUCGAACUAAAGGCAUACAGGGAUAUUGCCAGAAAAGCUUCUUUGGUUGAGAAAUGCCUCCUCGAGGUAGAAAUGAUGUGCAAAAGAAGAGGCAUGCCAUCGAGGUGCCCCAACAAGAACAGGAUUCAUAUAAUCCCAAGGGCAGGGAUUCAAAGUGCUUGCGCCUUUAGAUGGAAAGAGACUUGAUCAAUCUGAAAGAGAAUAACUUGACAGUGGCCGAAUAUGAGGCUGAGUUUGAUAGACUAUUUGAUAGACUAGCGACUUUUGCUCCUUCCUUGGUAGCAGAUGAGGCAAUCCGAGCAUUGAGAUUCGAGGAGGGAUUGAAGCCUCGGAUCGAACUUGUUGUGGUCCCAUUUGAGCUGAAAACUUUCACUGCUGUGGUGAAUAAGGCUAAGCUGGUAGAUAGAGUUCUCGAGGCGGAAGUUGGACACGGACAGAUUUGAAUCUGCUUGAUCAGGAGUUCCUUCACCCUUUCUUUUGCCUCGUCAAUCAGGACUUGAGAUGCUCGUGGCCUAAAAAAUGUAUAGGGAAUCAGGGACAUUGUGAAUAGCAUGGAUCUUCUUUCUCUUUCGUUUUUGCCUUGUUAUCAGGACUCGGGAUCCUAAAGAUUGUGGAUGGUCUGUUUGAAAGGUUCAUGAGAACUGGUGGGAAGACAGACAAAGAACUCGUGAAUGGCGAUUAGCUUUUUUUUGGGUUGUUUUUGUUUACUUCCACGAGGAGCUUUUCGUUUGGGACACAACUGCUGCUGUAAACUGAGCUUUGUGUCUUUUUACAACGAUGCCCUAGCUAGAUUAUGCUCAGAGUUAGUCGUAGCUAAGUGGUUACGCACUUGAAAUAAUCUAUAAAUCUAGGCAUGUCACA